AUCUUGACAAAUAGCGAACCCUUUGCGUAGCGCGAGCAUUAACGUAAUCGAAAACACCGUCGUCGGAGCUGCGGCGUCCGUGCGGAGUGCAUAGUGCUGGUUCGAUGGUAUUGCUUGUUGCGAGUUUGUAUCACGUUUAGUUUAUACUUACGACCUCCGAGCAAUGUCGGGCCGCGCUGACGUCAGUGGCUUCUUCAACACACAGAUGGUGCUCGACCUUAACGAAGAGUCGGGUGAUCUCAUCAAGUCGCCUUCGCCGCCGCCCAGCCAUGGUGGG
Molecule: unclassified non-coding RNA, 277 nt
Filed under: Melitaea cinxia (Glanville fritillary)
Lineage: Eukaryota; Metazoa; Arthropoda; Insecta; Lepidoptera; Nymphalidae
Description: misc RNA ENSMCXG00005002242.1
Source: RNAcentral